RNAcentral lists this ribosomal RNA (428 nucleotides) under Bacteroidota bacterium. RNAcentral describes it as "Bacteroidetes bacterium partial 16S ribosomal RNA". It matches the Rfam family "Bacterial small subunit ribosomal RNA", at positions 355 to 776 of the family's 1533-position model. The record is from RNAcentral. Lineage: Bacteria; Pseudomonadati; Bacteroidota.
UAGGGAAUCUUCCGCAAUGGACGCAAGUCUGACGGAGCAACGCCGCGUGAGUGAAGAAGGAUUUCGGUUCGUAAAACUCUGUUGUUAGAGAAGAACAGCGCAUAGAGUAACUGUUAUGCGUGUGACGGUAUCUAACCAGAAAGCCACGGCUAACUACGUGCCAGCAGCCGCGGUAAUACGUAGGUGGCAAGCGUUGUCCGGAUUUAUUGGGCGUAAAGCGAGCGCAGGCGGUUAGAAAAGUCUGAAGUGAAAGGCAGUGGCUCAACCAUUGUAGGCUUUGGAAACUGUUUAACUUGAGUGCAGAAGGGGAGAGUGGAAUUCCAUGUGUAACGGUGAAAUGCGUAGAUAUAUGGAGGAACACCGGUGGCGAAAGCGGCUCUCUGGUCUGUAACUGACGCUGAGGCUCGAAAGCGUGGGGAGCGAACAGG